Non-coding RNA from Podarcis lilfordi (Lilford's wall lizard), 91 nucleotides. The record is from the annotation of a GenBank genome assembly. Lineage: Eukaryota; Metazoa; Chordata; Lepidosauria; Squamata; Lacertidae.
UCCACUGUAGGCUCAGUUGUUUAGAGUGUGGUGCCAAUAACACCAAGGUCGCAGGUUCAAUUCAGCUGCAUAUUCCUGUUUUGCAAAGGAU